RNAcentral lists this non-coding RNA (23 nucleotides) under Cricetulus griseus (Chinese hamster). The record is from RNAcentral. Lineage: Eukaryota; Metazoa; Chordata; Mammalia; Rodentia; Cricetidae.
UUGAACAUUGUUACUGAUAGGGG